AUUGAACUUGAUGAAGUUCAAUCGGUAGAAGAACCGACACAAUCUAGUAAAUCCAUAGAGUUGAAUUUCAAUAGAUAAAACUCAAACCCUAUUGUAGAGAUAUCUUUGAAGAGAUCUGAUAGAGAAUCACAUCAGUCGGAUAGAUACUAUGAUUUUUUGAUUCGGGAUGAUGAUCAUGUUGAACAGAUGAGAACAACAAGGAUC
This 204-nucleotide long non-coding RNA is filed under the name Elaeis guineensis (African oil palm). RNAcentral's name for it is "long non-coding RNA (EGUI_LNC038759)". Lineage: Eukaryota; Viridiplantae; Streptophyta; Magnoliopsida; Arecales; Arecaceae. The record is from RNAcentral.